GGGUUGUGAGGUUAAGCGACUAAGCGUACACGGUGGAUGCCCUGGCAGUCAGAGGCGAUGAAGGGCGUGCUAAUCUGCGAUAAGCGCCGGUAAGGUGAUAUGAACCGUUAUAACCGGCGAUACCCGAAUGGGGAAACCCAGUGUGAUUCGUCACACUAUCAUUAACUGAAUCCAUAGGUUAAUGAGGCGAACCGGGGGAACUGAAACAUCUAAGUACCCCGAGGAAAAGAAAUCAACCGAGAUUCCCCCAGUAGCGGCGAGCGAACGGGGAGGAGCCCAGAGCCUGAAUCAGCAUGUGUGUUAGUGGAAGCGUCUGGAAAGGCGCGCGAUACAGGGUGACAGCCCCGUACACAAAAGCGCAUGUGCUGUGAGCUCGAUGAGUAGGGCGGGACACGUGGUAUCCUGUCUGAAUAUGGGGGGACCAUCCUCCAAGGCUAAAUACUCCUGACUGACCGAUAGUGAACCAGUACCGUGAGGGAAAGGCGAAAAGAACCCCGGCGAGGGGAGUGAAAAAGAACCUGAAACCGUGUACGUACAAGCAGUGGGAGCCCCACCACUAAGCCAGUGGUGAACUCCACAUCCGCAUCCUUUGCUGAGGAUACGGUUAACGGAGCGAAAGCGACGUUCAACCGCAAAACAAGCAGAGGGGGCUUAGUGGUGGGGUGACUGCGUACCUUUUGUAUAAUGGGUCAGCGACUUAUAUUCUGUAGCAAGGUUAACCGAAUAGGGGAGCCGGAGGGAAACCGAGUCUUAAUUGGGCGUUAAGUUGCAGGGUAUAGACCCGAAACCCGGUGAUCUAGCCAUGGGCAGGUUGAAGGUUGGGUAACACUAACUGGAGGACCGAACCGACUAAUGUUGAAAAAUUAGCGGAUGACCUGUGGCUGGGGGUGAAAGGCCAAUCAAACCGGGAGAUAGCUGGUUCUCCCCGAAAGCUAUUUAGGUAGCGCCUCGUGAAUUCAUCUCCGGGGGUAAGCACUGUUUCGGCUAGGGGGCCAUCCCGGCUUACCAACCCGAUGCAAACUGCGAAUACCGGAGAAUGUUAUCACGGGAGACACA
Molecule: ribosomal RNA, 1056 nt
Filed under: Salmonella enterica subsp. enterica serovar Typhimurium str. CDC_2009K1158
Lineage: Bacteria; Pseudomonadati; Pseudomonadota; Gammaproteobacteria; Enterobacterales; Enterobacteriaceae
Description: bacterial LSU rRNA
Rfam family: Bacterial large subunit ribosomal RNA
Source: RNAcentral